Molecule: long non-coding RNA, 341 nt
Organism: Siniperca chuatsi (mandarin fish)
Lineage: Eukaryota; Metazoa; Chordata; Actinopteri; Centrarchiformes; Sinipercidae
Exons: 4
Source: RefSeq, a predicted model, not a curated record
GCUGUUAACCGCCGAUAUUCAAAAGACGAAGAAGCAGCACCGGUCGUCGUCAGUUGGUUGCUGUCUCCCGUGAGCGUAACAUCGUUGGAGUAACUGGUCAGUUUCAACAAGUGAAACCACUCCCAGACUCGACUUGGAACCAAACUGGUCUUUAAGGAAGUGAAGCCACUCAUAGACUGGAGUUAAAUCAGGUACUGGUCCUCCGGCAAGCAGCAUCUGCUUUUUAUAACCAGGGUGUAAUGUCAUUUACAUGCAUGUUUUCGUUACUAUAUGAAUUUUUAGUAAGCAUUAUAUUCUGUAUUUGCUCUGAUUAAUCAAAUUAAACACUGCAUCUUAGUUUA